AUCGUCAAAAUGUAAACAAACUUUCGCACUAAUUAUUUUGCCAACAUUUUCGUCUUCUGGUCGAAGAAAUGUGCAUAUUGAACCGGUUUCUAGAUGGCAAGACAGAGAAAGAGAGAGAGAGAGAAAGUGGUCCUGGAGAGUCACCCACAAUGCACCGGGACGUCGGCAAUGCAAUGGAAAGAUAGAGGUGGAAGUUCUGGACCUUUUUUCACGUACAAGGAAGCCUCCUGUGGAGCCUAACAUCUAUCCUGCUGGAACCAUAUGAAUCAACUCCAAAAACAGAAGUUGUCCCGAUGGAGAAAGGCGGCGUCGACAGAUGGUGUCGAAAACGCGUUUGUCUGUCAAGGGUACUGACCACAAAGAGACUCACAGUAGAGAAGAUGAUUACAGUCACGUUGAUCCCAAUGACCCAGGAAACUCUGAACUUCUAGCCCACUUACAGAAUGCAGUAGAAGUCGUCUGAAAUCGUGUGUAGUAUGUGUGGCUGAAUUCUAGUCACAUGUAGCCACUGUUGCCCUUUGCGAAGGCACAUGCAACAGCGGCACAUGCAGGCCAAUCUGGCAUUCAAGCUGGAGGAGACUUAGUUCAGGAGGAAAGGAUACCAGCCAUUGGGACAAUCGGAACGUCCUUACAUUCAAUUUUCAAAGCACCCCGACGGCCACUAAGACCUGAAAGGAAGAAGAGGGACCAGGUGGGAGGGACUGACUGCACUAGGAGACCAGAAUGUCUGCCUUAUUGUGCACAUAGCACAGGCAUCAUUCCAUGGUCCCAUUCGUCAUGAACCUGCAGGUCAUAAUACAGCUGAUAAUUGGAUGUCAUAUUUAUUCCCAGAGCCCCAAAUGGCAACUUUCCACCAUCCAGUUAGCAGUCACUGACAGGCUCAGAUCGAGAACAGUGAACCUAAAGAUGUCAUAUCGGCAAGCAGAGAGCAGGAAUCAAGUCUGUCCUCCAAGUAUUCCCAGCGCCUUAUUAGAACGCACAUCCUGGACCUCUCGAGAAGUGAGAGUCCAGGAAUCGCUUCAUCCGGCCACUGAAGCUCCCUGUGGAGUUAAUCAGUAAGUUUAUUAGAAACUGGU
Macrobrachium nipponense is the source of this 1076-nucleotide RNA transcript. RefSeq lists it as uncharacterized. The transcript has 8 exons. The record is from RefSeq and is a predicted model, not a curated record. Lineage: Eukaryota; Metazoa; Arthropoda; Malacostraca; Decapoda; Palaemonidae.